Oreochromis niloticus (Nile tilapia) is the source of this 586-nucleotide long non-coding RNA. RefSeq lists it as uncharacterized. NCBI's taxonomy places the organism in Eukaryota, Metazoa, Chordata, Actinopteri, Cichliformes, Cichlidae. The record is from RefSeq and is a predicted model, not a curated record. The transcript has 3 exons.
GUCAUAAGGAGAACAUGAGAGCAAAGACCUGAUCUGAUCAUUCAAACACAGCUUAGACCGAUGCAGGGGGGUGUGCAGUUUAAGGUUUCCAGGUGGAGGAGCCACCUGCUGCCAAGAGCUGCUGAUGCCAGGCACAAUGCCCACGUCCACAGGAGAGCAGGUCAUGGCAGGUGGGAAGUUGGGGCGAGGAAGUGGAAGAGGCAGCAUAUGUUACUUUACCAUCUAGAGAUGGAUUUCUUUUCUGGUCCUGAGAGCUUAUUUCUUGGCAUCUUGGCAAACAUGUAAUCAACAAAAGGGCUAAAUGUGAAAAUGUGCCAGUUUAUAAAGGAGUGAAUAAACCAACCAAAGCUGAGGUUUAAUGACUUUAAAAAAAAUUCAUUUCCUCUGAUUAAUGUCAGCGAUUUCUGUGCAGAUGCCACCAAAACACAGGAAGGGCGCGUUACGGAAACAUGGUUCAUCCCGUGAUGCUGGGAACAUGUGGGCUGACACAGAGCAGUGUUCAAGCCUUUGAACAGCUCACCUAUUAUCGCUGUGCUAAUUUUAAUUAAAGCAAUUUUCUCUUGGAACAAAAUGGCAGCUUCACAUU